UCAUGAUCAGCGGCGGACGGGUGAGUAACACGUGAGCAACCUGCCUUUCAGAGGGGGACAACAGUUGGAAACGACUGCUAAUACCGCAUAACAUUGCCGAACGGCAUCGUUUGGCAAUCAAAGGAGCAAUCCGCUGAAAGAUGGGCUCGCGUCUGAUUAGAUAGUUGGUGAGGUAACGGCUCACCAAGUCGACGAUCAGUAGCCGGACUGAGAGGUUGAUCGGCCACAUUGGGACUGAGACACGGCCCAGACUCC
RNAcentral lists this ribosomal RNA (255 nucleotides) under uncultured Oscillospiraceae bacterium. RNAcentral's name for it is "partial 16S ribosomal RNA". It matches the Rfam family "Bacterial small subunit ribosomal RNA", at positions 86 to 339 of the family's 1533-position model. The record is from RNAcentral. Lineage: Bacteria; Bacillati; Bacillota; Clostridia; Eubacteriales; Oscillospiraceae.